GAUGAACGCUAGCGGCAGGCUUAAUACAUGCAAGUCAUGGGGCAGCAUGUCCCGCAGCAAUGCGGGAUGAUGGCGACCGGCAAACGGGUGCGGAACACGUACACAACCUUCCUUUAAGUGGGGAAUAGGCCAGGGAAACUUGGGUUAAUACCCCGUAAUAUAUAGAAGCGGCAUCGUUUUUAUAUUAUAGCAGCAAUGCGCUUGAAGAUGGGUGUGCGGCNGAUUAGAUAGUUGGCGGGGUAAUGGCCCACCAAGUCGACGAUCAGUAACUGGUGUGAGAGCACGACCAGUCAC
This 294-nucleotide ribosomal RNA is filed under the name uncultured bacterium. Its description in RNAcentral is "partial 16S ribosomal RNA". It matches the Rfam family "Bacterial small subunit ribosomal RNA", at positions 28 to 311 of the family's 1533-position model. The record is from RNAcentral.